This 1058-nucleotide long non-coding RNA is filed under the name Chinchilla lanigera (long-tailed chinchilla). RNAcentral describes it as "lncRNA (ENSCLAG00000025694.1)". Lineage: Eukaryota; Metazoa; Chordata; Mammalia; Rodentia; Chinchillidae. The record is from RNAcentral.
AUGAAACAGACUUCUAACCCCGGGAAAUGUCAUCAAUUGUGAAACAAAGGAUGAGGCUUGCCAGAUUCUCCAGACUCAGGAGACAGAGUUGGGCUGGCCGGGCCACGUGGUACCUCACCCCUCGCCUCCUGUGCUUGGUCGGGCUGUGACUGUCGCCUCUUUUAAUUGUCCUGUGAGUCGUGCCCAUUCCUGUCAACCAGGUGCACGGCAUCGCUUGCCCGGUUGUGUGACACCCAGGGCCACCCCAUGGAAGGACGUACCAGUGCUUUUCCAAAGAAACUUGCUAGAAAUAAUCACACCCCUAGGAUCCAGGUGGAGAACUGAUAAGACCUUGGGUAAGAACAGCUCUUGGGAGAGUGCAAAAGAAGGGACGAACUUGAAACACACUUGCUUGAGAGAGAACAAAGGGAACUUGUUAACUGACUGAACAUGGGGCAACCAUAAAGAAAAGAAUGGAAGAAGAGAGGUCAAGGGACUAUGUGGAGUAUCUGGGACAAAUUGCUGCUAUGGUUGGAAGAAAGUCAGACCAGAAAAGAGGAGAAGGCUUUGUGGCUGGUGUAGGCCCAAAUUCCACAUGCUCAAGUCAGGUGUGUCUAAGUAGAAGUCAGUACAGGUCAUCUUUGCAACUGUCUUUAAUCAAAAGGAGGCCCUCAGAAGCUAGGAGAGUCCUGGGGCUGAGGCACCACCUCAGUCUUUCAGCAUCUAAGGCUGGGCACCUGCCAGCAAAGAAGAUAAAGAAUGGUGCUUCUCAGACUCUGUCCUCAAUUUUCCUUGGCACUGCAGUCCCACUGGGACCUUGGUUACUGUCAGGAAGACACCUCACUGUGAAACACACAGGGUAUUCUGUGCCAGCUGUAGCAUCGAUCACAACAAGACUGCUCUGUGUGUGCUGGAAAAAUGUGUGUUUGCUUGCUAAGGUCAGGGAGAUAGAGAAAGUUUCUGAGUCCACUAGCGCUCAGCAGAUGCUUCACUUCUGGGAAGAGAGACUGAAAGGUCAGUUUAUGACAUCCUUGGGGGAUGCUGGCAGGGAACACGUGCCACGUCAGUGUCAUUUCUGA